RNAcentral lists this ribosomal RNA (253 nucleotides) under uncultured bacterium. RNAcentral describes it as "partial 16S ribosomal RNA". It matches the Rfam family "Bacterial small subunit ribosomal RNA", at positions 524 to 776 of the family's 1533-position model. The record is from RNAcentral.
UACGUAGGGUGCAAGCGUUGUCCGGAAUUAUUGGGCGUAAAGAGCUCGUAGGCGGUCUGUCGCGUCGGCUGUGAAACCCCGGGGCUCAACCCCGGGCCUGCAGUCGAUACGGGCAGACUAGAGUGCGGUAGGGGAGACUGGAAUCUCUGGUGUAGCGGUGAAAUGCGCAGAUAUCAGAGGGAACACCGGUGGCGAAGGCGGGUCUCUGGGCCGUAACUGACGCUGAGGAGCGAAAGCGUGGGGAGCGAACAGG